This 331-nucleotide ribosomal RNA is filed under the name uncultured eukaryote. RNAcentral's name for it is "partial 18S ribosomal RNA". It matches the Rfam family "Eukaryotic small subunit ribosomal RNA", at positions 1470 to 1796 of the family's 1831-position model. The record is from RNAcentral.
CCCUUAGAUGUUCUGGGCCGCACGCGCGCUACACUGACGAAGUCAGCGAGCAUGUCCUACGCCGACAGGUGCGGGGAAUCUUGUCAAACUUCGUCGUGAUGGGGAUUGAUUUUUGAAAUUCUUGAUCAUAAACGAGGAAUUCCUAGUAAGCGCAAGUCAGCAGCUUGCGUUGAUUACGUCCCUGCCCUUUGUACACACCGCCCGUCGCUACUACCGAUUGAAUGGUUUAGUGAGAUCUUCGGAUUGGCGCCUACGCGGCUUCUCUGAGGCCACGCUGGAUGCCGAAAAGUUGCUCAAACUGUAUCAUUUAGAGGAAGUAAAAGUCGUAACA